UUUAAAACCGGAGUGAGUAGCUUUUUUCACACUGUAUUUUUCAAUAUUAACUUUAAGUUCUCAAAGAUACUAAAUAUACACAUGUAAAACACCUGUAAAUACAAAUUGAGUUUGAUGGGCAGUGACGACUCCUUUGAACUUGAAUUCAUUCUCUUCGAUGCAAGGGCACAACAGCUAAUUGGGAAACCAUGCAAGCAAUUGCAGAUGUUCUUUGACAAAUCUGAUACACCUCCUGAAAUCUUAUUCUUAAUUGGCCAAAAACAUACAUUCAUAGUCAAAAUGCCUGUAAAAAGUGUGGAGCGAAAGGUUCCAUCUUUCGAGGUACUGUACAUCAAAGAACAAUUUAGCAAGCAAACAAGAAUUCCUACUAUUCGACAAGAUAUGCAUACAAUUAUAGCUACACUAGCAGCAGAAAUACAAAUGCCAAUAUCAAAAAGUCAACGCCCAAUGGUUUCAUUCAAAUCAUUUGCUGCUAAAUCAAAUAACUCUUGCAUACAUGUAAUUAUAUUUCGUUUACUAGACUACAUUCAAAAUAUAUAUUAUUCCAAAUUAUAUAACUAAUAUAUAGUCAUAUAAAAAUAAUGCAGGAAAGCUCAAAGCAACUAGCUCAAUUGCAACUUGAAGAUAGCAGAAUGGAUAUUGAACCAACAGGAAAACAAGCUGAAACAAACGUUACACGCUCCAAAAGGUCAUAUGAUUCUACUAUGAAAGAUUCAGAAGAUGAUGAUGCUGCCCUUCCUACUAAUGGCAAAAAGACCAAACACUAACAAACUCAAGGGCCUGAUGCAUCUAACACUCAAGCACCGGUCUCAACAAUUGAAGCUUUAACAACUUUUGGUGUGUUAGAGCCUUUACCUUUUGUAACAAAAAGCUUUAGGCAGCAGCUACUGUUAUUUUGAUGUAUAUAUAGCAAUGCUACUUAUUUUCAGCUGAUAUAUUUAGCACUCACGCACCGGUCUCGACGAUUCUGGUGCAUAACAGCCUUUACCUUUUGUAACAAAAAGUUUUAUGCAGCAGCUACUGUCAUUUUGAUGUAUAUAUAUCAAUGCUACUCCAAAGUGUGGGGUAGUGGUGUGCAAAUGUGGUCUUAUAUGUAUCUAGCAAUUUAUCUUCCACUGUACUGUACUAUUAAGUAUAUAACAACUUAUACACUUUAUCUA
Long non-coding RNA from Phragmites australis (common reed), 1160 nucleotides. RefSeq lists it as uncharacterized. The record is from RefSeq and is a predicted model, not a curated record. The transcript is spliced from 4 exons. NCBI's taxonomy places the organism in Eukaryota, Viridiplantae, Streptophyta, Magnoliopsida, Poales, Poaceae.